This is a non-coding RNA of Pseudonocardia sp. EC080619-01, 75 nucleotides long. It matches the Rfam family "ASpks TB sRNA". NCBI's taxonomy places the organism in Bacteria, Bacillati, Actinomycetota, Actinomycetes, Pseudonocardiales, Pseudonocardiaceae. The record is from Rfam.
CUUGAGCGAGCCGACCCACAGCGGGCGGUCCGGGUCCCGGUCCUGCCCAUAGGUGGCGAGCAGGGCGCGCGCCUC